RNAcentral lists this transfer RNA (71 nucleotides) under Astyanax mexicanus (Mexican tetra). It matches the Rfam family "tRNA". From Rfam's summary of the family: Transfer RNA (tRNA) molecules are approximately 80 nucleotides in length. Their secondary structure includes four short double-helical elements and three loops (D, anti-codon, and T loops). Further hydrogen bonds mediate the characteristic L-shaped molecular structure. tRNAs have two regions of fundamental functional importance: the anti-codon, which is responsible for specific mRNA codon recognition, and the 3' end, to which the tRNAs corresponding amino acid is attached (by aminoacyl-tRNA synthetases). tRNAs cope with the degeneracy of the genetic code in two manners: having more than one tRNA (with a specific anti-codon) for a particular amino acid; and 'wobble' base-pairing, i.e. permitting non-standard base-pairing at the 3rd anti-codon position. The record is from Rfam by way of RNAcentral. Lineage: Eukaryota; Metazoa; Chordata; Actinopteri; Characiformes; Acestrorhamphidae.
GGCUCCAUAGCUCAGUGGACAGAGUGCUGGUCUCUGAAACCAGAGGUCGCGAGUUCGAUUCUCACUAGCCC